Molecule: long non-coding RNA, 410 nt
Organism: Bubalus bubalis (water buffalo)
Lineage: Eukaryota; Metazoa; Chordata; Mammalia; Artiodactyla; Bovidae
Exons: 3
Source: RefSeq, a predicted model, not a curated record
CUUUUCCUCCCUCCCUUUCUUAUUACUCCUCUGAGUGUUUCUCAUCUUCCCAACACAUUUUCUGCUGAAGGCCUUAGAACUAACAUCACAGUUCUGAUACGAGUGAAACAAAUGAGAGCAGUCCAACAGGAAAGCCGUAAGAGCCCACUCUUUCUGAGCGCCUAGUGGGAGAUCUGGAAGAUUACAUCGCACCUCUUUUCCAGACAUUAGCGUAAACACAGUAUGUCAGUAUUGAUAUGUCAAUCUUGUAAGUCUAUCUUGCCUCUACGGUUAUAGAGUAGAUGGCAGAAAUGAAUACAGUAAAACCAAAGAGAGUGCAGUUUUGAGGGUGACAGGCAGCUGAAGUUAUAGCUGGUGCAGCAGUAAAGAAUCCGCCUGCCAAUACAGGAGAUGCAAGAGACAUGGGUUCG